This 220-nucleotide long non-coding RNA is filed under the name Capsicum annuum. Its description in RNAcentral is "long non-coding RNA (CANN_LNC019263)". The record is from RNAcentral. Lineage: Eukaryota; Viridiplantae; Streptophyta; Magnoliopsida; Solanales; Solanaceae.
UUUAUGCUAGCUUUUAAAGUGGAUUUCCAACAGAAUGAACAUACAAAUUAAAGGAUCUAGUAUUUAGCAUCGAGCGGGAAGUCUGGGAUUAGCGUGCUCUAUCUUCCACAAAACUAUAUUUCUGAUGUAGGUACAAAUUCAGAUUUAUUCCCAUUUCUAUAUGGAUGACAGAUACAGAUGUGAUCACUUAGAUUAGGUUAUACUCCUUGGAAAGAGUAUG